This 504-nucleotide ribosomal RNA is filed under the name uncultured bacterium. RNAcentral describes it as "bacterial SSU rRNA". It matches the Rfam family "Bacterial small subunit ribosomal RNA", at positions 28 to 521 of the family's 1533-position model. The record is from RNAcentral.
GAUGAACGCUAGCGACAGGCCUAACACAUGCAAGUCGAGGGGCAUCACAUGAGGCAGCAAUGCCGAUGGUGGCGACCGGCGCACGGGUGAGUAACACGUAUGCAACCUGCCUUCAACAAGGGGAUAACCCGUUGAAAAACGGACUAAUACCCUAUAAUACAGGGGUCCCGCAUGGGGAUAUUUGUUAAAGAUUGAUCGGUUGAAGAUGGGCAUGCGUUCCAUUAGCUGGUUGGUGAGGUAACGGCUCACCAAGGCAACGAUGGAUAGGGGAACUGAGAGGUUUAUCCCCCACACUGGUACUGAGACACGGACCAGACUCCUACGGGAGGCAGCAGUGAGGAAUAUUGGUCAAUGGACGCAAGUCUGAACCAGCCACGUCGCGUGAAGGAAGACGGCCCUACGGGUUGUAAACUUCUUUUGUAAGGGAAUAAAGUGUAGUACGCGUACUAUUUUGCAUGUACCUUACGAAUAAGGAUCGGCUAACUCCGUGCCAGCAGCCGCGGU